RNAcentral lists this ribosomal RNA (387 nucleotides) under Triticum aestivum (bread wheat). Its description in RNAcentral is "partial small subunit ribosomal RNA". Lineage: Eukaryota; Viridiplantae; Streptophyta; Magnoliopsida; Poales; Poaceae. The record is from RNAcentral.
GAAUUCGAUACCAUAGUCCCCGCUACUCUCCUCAUAGGAUACUUAUCAAAAGCUCAAUUUUGUACUGGAUCAGGGCAUCCUAUUAGUAAACCCGUUUGGACAGAUUUAUCAGAUUGGGAUAUUCUUGAUCGAUUUGGUCGGAUAUGUAGAAAUCCUUUUCAUUAUCAUAGUGGAUCUUCAAAAAAACGGACUUUGUAUCGACUAAAGUAUAUACUUCGACUUUCAUGCGCUAGAACUUUAGCUCGUAAACAUAAAAGCACGGUACGAACUUUUAUGCAACGAUUGGGUUCGACAUUUUUAGAAGAAUCUUUUAUGAAAGAAGAGAAUCUGAGCUGGGUGGAAUUGAAGUUCGGUUUCGAUCAAGACACCCCUGCCUACUUACCUUAA